CGGGGUCUGCAACUCGACCCCGUGAAGUCGGAGUCGCUAGUAAUCGCAGAUCAGCAACGCUGCGGUGAAUACGUUCCCGGGCCUUGUACACACCGCCCGUCACGUCAUGAAAGUCGGUAACACCCGAAGCCAGUGGCCUAACCGUCGGGAGGGAGCUGUCGAAGGUGGGAUCGGCGAUUGGGACGAAGUCGUAACAAGGUAGCCGUACCGGAAGGUGCGGCUGGAUCACCUCCUUUCUAAGGAGCACCACGAAAACGCCCCAACUGGUGGGGCGUAGGCCGUGAGGGGUUCA
Molecule: ribosomal RNA, 292 nt
Filed under: Mycobacterium tuberculosis
Lineage: Bacteria; Bacillati; Actinomycetota; Actinomycetes; Mycobacteriales; Mycobacteriaceae
Description: partial 16S ribosomal RNA
Rfam family: Bacterial small subunit ribosomal RNA (bases 1-236)
Source: RNAcentral